AUACGGAGGAUGCAAGCGUUAUCCGGAUUUAUUGGGUUUAAAGGGUGCGUAGGCGGUUUGCUAAGCGGGAGGUGAAAUGCCGGCGUUCAACGUCGGAAGUGCCUCCCGAACUGGUGGACUUGAAUGACUCUGCCGUGGGAGGAAUGUGUAGUGUAGCGGUGAAAUGCUUAGAGAUUACACAGAACACCGAUUGCGAAGGCAUCUCACGAAGGGUUGAUUGACGCUGAGGCACGAAAGCGUGGGGAUCAAACAGGAUUAGAUACCCUGGUAGUCCACGCAGUAAACGAUGAUGGCUAACCGCUGGAUCCAUCGGUUCAGUGGCCAAGCGAAAGCGAUAAGCCAUCCACCUGGGGAGUACGACCGCAAGGUUGAAACUCAAAUGAAUUGACGGGG
RNAcentral lists this ribosomal RNA (393 nucleotides) under uncultured bacterium. Its description in RNAcentral is "partial 16S ribosomal RNA". It matches the Rfam family "Bacterial small subunit ribosomal RNA", at positions 523 to 918 of the family's 1533-position model. The record is from RNAcentral.